Colias croceus (clouded yellow) is the source of this 1541-nucleotide long non-coding RNA. RefSeq lists it as uncharacterized. NCBI's taxonomy places the organism in Eukaryota, Metazoa, Arthropoda, Insecta, Lepidoptera, Pieridae. The record is from RefSeq and is a predicted model, not a curated record. The transcript has 4 exons.
GAAUUGACGUUCGACACUUGACAGUCAUUUUGAAUGGUACAAUCAUGAAAAUUCAAUCAAUAAUCGUUUAAUAAACGCUGAAAUAAGAAUGAAACUUGAUACAAUGUGUAUUCUUAAUGUUUUAACUUCCUAAGGAAAUUAAUUUACUGACAAUGAAAGUGUUUUUACAUCUUUAAUCUUUAGUGUGAGACUUUUUUAUGAGCCUGAGUUAGAUACAUAAGUUGGGACAAUGACUGAUAUAAGUGGCAUUGACUACAUGAUUACAACAUUAGGAGCUUUUCUGAUGUUGGCAUUUGUUUGCUGUCUCUGCUGUUUUUGUAUGAAGUUGAGUGACAUGAAGAUGAGGAAUUAUAUAUUGGAAUUAGCAAAGAAGAAGAAUGUGAAUGUUGAUCUAGAAAAAUUAAAACCAAGGAAUACUUGCCAAUCGCCGCAUGCAAAUGAAAACUGUACCAUAAUGAUACCAGAUGUUGCUAUAGUACUCUGAAUGGAACAACGAUCGCCAAAAUGACAAAUAUUUUUGGGCUCAUGGAUUUUGAUGUCCCUCACAAGGAAGUAAGCAUGUUCUGCCAAAUUUUUAUUUAUUGUAAAUAGUUCUAUAUUGUACAUUGUACAUUUUUUCUACUGUCUUAUACUUUGAAAUGAGAAUUUGUUAAAUAUACUUUACUAUAGUAAAGAGCUAUUGUAACAUCACACAAGAGAGAAAGGCAAAAAUUCUAAAAUAGUAAUAAGUAUGUACAUUUUCUAUACUCUUUACUCUGUACCUAUGUAUAAUAACUUUCUAGUCACUUUGUAAGUAUUAUCUUACUAAGAUACUGCCUGCUUUUUCUAUAUUAUUUGUAGGGUUUUCAAGUAUGUGAUUAUAUAGACAUUAGUAAUAUAAUGUUUAAAACAAUUUUAAUAUGUCUUACAAGAACUUAAAUUAGCGGCCUAUAAUAAAAUAUCUUUUUAAAAUCUCAAAUGGAAUAAUGAAAAUUGAUUAAUAGCAUAGUAAAAAAAGAACAAGUAAGUUAUUUUCGAACAAAGUACAUCGUGCCGUUUGUAUGUACGCGGAGCGCUUGGCCACGCCCCCAGUUCAUGUACAUACGCAAGCUUGACGCACUCACACAACGCCGCUCGGUUCCUUCUCAUUGACCGUUCCCGUGAGGGCCGCGCUGUCGCUGUGAGCGGUCGGUGUUUGUUUAUACAAUUAUUUAAAAUAUCAACGUGACAAGUGACAACCCUGCGCCUCUCGAGUUUAGCUAUCGUGCGCUCCUGGAGACGGCCUACUUGUUCUCUUUUUACUAUGUUAGUAGUUAUUGGUGAUAGACGUAAAUUGAUAUUAUAUUAUGUAUUGACAAAUAACACUUCUGAAGCGGGAUAUUAUUAUUUUAGUAUAUUUAAGCUAAUCUAUUAAUUUCAAUUUAAAACUGUCUACGGCACAAAAUAAAGUCUAAUUAGUAGGAUAAUAUUAAUAAUUGAUCUGUCACUUUUAUUUUCAGUUAUUUGAUAUUUUUUUUAGUUGCAGGCUUAGAUUACAAAAUAAAAGACAGAUGGAGCGUUGC